GAUGAACGCUGGCGGUAUGCUUAACACAUGCAAGCCGAACGGACUCUUCGGAGUUAGUGGCGGACGGGUGAGUAACGCGUGAGAAUCUGGCUUUGGGUUCGGGACAACCACUGGAAACGGUGGCUAAUACCGGAUGUGCCGAGAGGUAAAAGAGAAAUUGCCUGAAGAUGAGCUCGCGUCUGAUUAGCUAGUUGGUGAGGUAAAGGCUCACCAAGGCAGCGAUCAGUAGCUGGUCUGAGAGGAUGACCAGCCACACUGGGACUGAGACACGGCCCAGACUCCUACGGGAGGCAGCAGUGGGGAAUUUUCCGCAAUGGGUGAAAGCCUGACGGAGCAAUACCGCGUGAGGGAAGAAGGCUCUUGGGUUGUAAACCUCUUUUCUUAGGGAAGAACAAAAUGACGGUACCUAAGGAAUCAGCAUCGGCUAACUCCGUG
This 435-nucleotide ribosomal RNA is filed under the name uncultured bacterium. RNAcentral describes it as "partial 16S ribosomal RNA". It matches the Rfam family "Bacterial small subunit ribosomal RNA", at positions 28 to 507 of the family's 1533-position model. The record is from RNAcentral.